RNAcentral lists this ribosomal RNA (460 nucleotides) under uncultured bacterium. Its description in RNAcentral is "partial 16S ribosomal RNA". It matches the Rfam family "Bacterial small subunit ribosomal RNA", at positions 338 to 795 of the family's 1533-position model. The record is from RNAcentral.
CCUACGGGAGGCAGCAGUGAGGAAUAUUGGUCAAUGGACGAGAGUCUGAACCAGCCAAGUAGCGUGAAGGAUGACUGCCCUCUGGGUUGUAAACUUCUUUUAUAUGGGAAUAAAAUGUUCCACGUGUGGGAUUUUGUAUGUACCAUAUGAAUAAGGAUCGGCUAACUCCGUGCCAGCAGCCGCGGUAAUACGGAGGAUCCGAGCGUUAUCCGGAUUUAUUGGGUUUAAAGGGAGCGUAGGUGGAUUGUUAAGUCAGUUGUGAAAGUUUGCGGCUCAACCGUAAAAUUGCAGUUGAAACUGGCAGUCUUGAGUACAGUAGAGGUGGGCGGAAUUCGUGGUGUAGCGGUGAAAUGCUUAGAUAUCACGAAGAACUCCGAUGGCGAAGGCAGUUCACUGGACUGCAACUGACACUGAGGCUCGAAAGUGUGGGUAUCAAACAGGAUUAGAUACCCUUGUAGUC